AAAAACAUAUAGAGAGUAAUGAAGUGUAUGAUGAAGAAGAGAGGUCUAACAUGGCGGAAAGCG
RNAcentral lists this unclassified non-coding RNA (63 nucleotides) under Arabidopsis thaliana (thale cress). Lineage: Eukaryota; Viridiplantae; Streptophyta; Magnoliopsida; Brassicales; Brassicaceae. The record is from RNAcentral.